CCUACGGGAGGCAGCAGUGGGGGAUAUUGCACAAUGGGGGGAACCCUGAUGCAGCGACGCCGCGUGGGUGAAGAAGCGCCUCGGCGCGUAAAGCCCUGUCAGCAGGGAAGAAAAUGACGGUACCUGAAGAAGAAGCCCCGGCUAACUACGUGCCAGCAGCCGCGGGAAUACGUAGGGGGCAAGCGUUAUCCGGAUUUACUGGGUGGAAAGGGGGCGCAGACGGCGAUGCAAGCCAGGAGUGAAAGCCCGGGGCCCAACCCCGGGACUGCUCUUGGAACUGGGUGGCUGGAGUGCAGGAGGGGCAGGCGGAAUUCCUGGUGUAGCGGUGAAAUGCGUAGAUAUCAGGAGGAACACCGGUGGCGAAGGCAGCCUGCUGGACUGCAACUGACGUUGAGGCCCGAAAGCGUGGGGAGUAAACAGGAUUAGAUACCCCUGUAGUC
Molecule: ribosomal RNA, 440 nt
Filed under: uncultured bacterium
Lineage: Bacteria
Description: partial 16S ribosomal RNA
Rfam family: Bacterial small subunit ribosomal RNA
Source: RNAcentral